Molecule: non-coding RNA, 398 nt
Organism: Microcebus murinus (gray mouse lemur)
Lineage: Eukaryota; Metazoa; Chordata; Mammalia; Primates; Cheirogaleidae
Source: RefSeq, a predicted model, not a curated record
CUCCCAGAUGCCACUUCCUCCGGGAAGCCUUUCUUGACCUCUCUCCCUCCACACUUCCAGCACCCUUUCUGCCCAGUAGUCUUACGCCAUCCUCCUCCCUCUCUACUCUGUGUUGUCUGGCUGUGCAGUGAGUUGCCUGCACGUGGGUCUCCCGUGCGGCCCCCGCCUCACCAUCCCAGCAUCUCGCAUGUAGCACGGAGCAGCGAGGCUCACGCCCAGCAAGUGCUCAGUGAUUCUCGUUCAGCCACACCACCCGGAAGUCGCGCGGCACGUCCUCAGACACGGACACGUUGUACACGGCCGGGAAGAAGGAAGCCCUCCGGGAUCUGCUCCUCCUGGACCCUCUGAACGCUCCAGUGUUCCGCAAUCUCCCGUCACCCUCCACCCUUACAGUGCUG